This 426-nucleotide ribosomal RNA is filed under the name uncultured bacterium. RNAcentral describes it as "bacterial SSU rRNA". It matches the Rfam family "Bacterial small subunit ribosomal RNA", at positions 354 to 796 of the family's 1533-position model. The record is from RNAcentral.
GUAGGGAAUAUUGCACAAUGGGCGAAAGCCUGAUGCAGCAACGCCGCGUGCGCGAUGAAGGCCUUCGGGUCGUAAAGCGCUUUUCGGGGAGAAGAGGAAGGACGGUAUCCCCGGAAGAAGGAUCGGCUAACUACGUGCCAGCAGCCGCGGUAACACGUAGGAUCCGAGCGUUAUCCGAAUUCACUGGGCGUAAAGCGCGUGCAGGCGGUACGGUAAGUUGGAUGUGAAAUCUCCUGGCUCAACUGGGAGGGGACGUUCAAUACUGUCGAACUAGAGGGCGGUAGAGGGAGGUGGAAUUCCCGGUGUAGUGGUGAAAUGCGUAGAUAUCGGGAGGAACACCAGAGGCGAAGGCGGCCUCCUGGACCGCACCUGACGCUCAGACGCGAAAGCUAGGGGAGCGAACGGGAUUAGAUACCCCAGUAGUCC